CAGUCGCCGCGGGAAUACGUAGGGUGCGAGCGUUAAUCGGAAUUACUGGGCGUAAAGCGUGCGCAGGCGGUUCGUUAAGACAGAUGUGAAAUCCCCGGGCUUAACCUGGGAACUGCAUUUGUGACUGGCGAGCUAGAGUAUGGCACAGGGGGGUAGAAUUCCACGUGUAGCAAUGAAAUGCGUAGAGAUGUGGAGGAAUACCGAUGGCGAAGGCAGCCCCCUGGGCCAAUACUGACGCUCAUGCACGAAAGCGUGGGGAGCAAACAGGAUUAGAUACCCGGGUAGUCCCUGUCUCUUAUAC
Molecule: ribosomal RNA, 301 nt
Filed under: uncultured bacterium
Lineage: Bacteria
Description: partial 16S ribosomal RNA
Rfam family: Bacterial small subunit ribosomal RNA
Source: RNAcentral